AUGGCGGCCGCGCUGGAGUGCUGGUCGGGCCGGCCGAGCACCGACGAGGAGUCCAUGGUGGAGCAGGUUCUCAUGAAGCCCCACGCCCGCUCGGACGGUUCGCUCCCCACCUGCGCUGACUCGGUCGGCGCGGGUGACCCGAUUUCGGGCCCGGCGGCGCCCAAGAAGUGGCAGCGCCUGGGCCGCAACUUCGCCGGCGCCAUCGCGGCAUUCAAGAACACGCUCAACCUGGACAACGGCGGCGUCCCCCGCGACCCCUCGCCGCGCGCCGGCGGCGAGAAGCCGCCGCUCCUCCUCCGCGGCCUCGCGCAGCUCUACUCCCGUGGCGCCGCAGCCCAGCAGCUGCCGGAGAAGCUCGUUUCUGACCUCCGCCGCCACUUCGAUGCUCUUCCCAACAGCUACGCACAGGCAGGAUUUGACAUGAAAGAUGUCCUCUUGCACGCCCGCCUUGUAGAGCAGGCGGCCGGUGAGGAUCAGCCUGCACUGAGCAUCGAGGAAGUUCAUGGCAGCAAUGGCAGAGAAAGUGGUGCCGAGGGCACUGUAUUUCAGCUCACCUUUGCCUGCAACGCCCCACUUUCAUGGCAGUCAAUGUCAGGCUCACUCGACAGCCCAUUGUUCAGUUGCAAGAAGAUCCAGAUCUUCGAGAAGAGAGGACUGACACUUGGUGUCGUCCUGAUAAUUGUGCAAUCCGGGAGCGAGGAGCUCUUCAAGAGCCGGGUCGAGGCCGCGCUAAAAUCGGCGACAAAGAAGCAUCGGAAGAACAGUGGAGGCGGCGGUGGCGGUGUGAAGCUCCCCUUCGGGCUCUGCGGCUGCCAGGAAGAAGGAUCGCGCAACUUCGACGAGGAGUCCAUGUUUGAUCCCGAGGAAGGCCAGGAUCUUGACAAUGAGCCUGCUCGCAGGCCAUACCUUCCCACUCCCCUACCACAAUCAUCAGUCUUUGUCUCAGUAGAUGAGUGGCAGACCGUCCGAUCCGGGGGCGAGGAGCUCGGCCGCUGGAUUGUGAGCUCCGAGGAGAUCGAAUUCGUCGACUGGGUUGGCCAAAACUCGUUCAGGGGAGUCCACAGAGGAAGGAAGGUUUGGGUUAACAAAAUGAGGGGUUGCAACAUGGGCAGUGCUUACGAUGUCGAGAUCCGUCAGGACUUGCUGCAACUGAUGAGCUGCGGUCAGAAGAACAUCCUCCAGUUCCAUGGCAUCUGCUUCAACGAGAGCCAUGGCCUCUGCAUAGUGACUAGGAUGAUGGAAGGGGGCUCGGUUCAUGACAUCAUUAUGCAGAGAAACAAGAGACUGUCGCUCCGGGACACGAUUAGGAUUGCUCUUGAUGUUGCUGAUGGCUUGGCGUUCAUGAACGGCUACGGCAUUGCGUACCGUGAUCUUAACGCACGAAGGAUCCUGCUAGACAGACAGGGAAAUGCCUGCCUUGGGGAUAUGGGCAUUGUUACCCCUUGUAAUAAUGCUGGCGAGGUUACUGAGUAUGAGACGUCUGGGUAUCGCUGGCUAGCUCCAGAGAUCAUUGCUGGAGAUCCAGAAAGCGUAUCGGAGACCUGCAUGAGCAACGUCUACAGCUACGGCAUGGUUCUGUGGGAGAUGGUGACCGGCGAGGAGGCCUACUCGACGUACUCGCCGGUGCAGGCGGCGGUGGGGAUCGCGGCGUGCGGGCUGAGGCCGGAGAUACCGAGGGACUGCCCGCCGUUCCUGAGGUCGCUGAUGAGCCGGUGCUGGGACAAUUGCCCUCUCAAACGCCCUCAGUUCUCGGAGAUCAUAUCCACCCUGCAAAAGCAGAGCCUGAGAUAG
RNAcentral lists this ribosomal RNA (1791 nucleotides) under Triticum aestivum (bread wheat). Its description in RNAcentral is "partial small subunit ribosomal RNA". The record is from RNAcentral. Lineage: Eukaryota; Viridiplantae; Streptophyta; Magnoliopsida; Poales; Poaceae.